This 87-nucleotide transfer RNA is filed under the name Treponema sp. Its description in RNAcentral is "tRNA-Ser". It matches the Rfam family "tRNA". Rfam says of the family: Transfer RNA (tRNA) molecules are approximately 80 nucleotides in length. Their secondary structure includes four short double-helical elements and three loops (D, anti-codon, and T loops). The record is from RNAcentral. Lineage: Bacteria; Pseudomonadati; Spirochaetota; Spirochaetia; Treponematales; Treponemataceae.
GGAGCGGUGUCCGAGCGGUUUAAGGAGGCGGUCUUGAAAACCGUUGAGCCCGCGAGGGCUCCGGGGGUUCGAAUCCCCCCUGCUCCG